This 744-nucleotide ribosomal RNA is filed under the name uncultured bacterium. Its description in RNAcentral is "bacterial SSU rRNA". It matches the Rfam family "Bacterial small subunit ribosomal RNA", at positions 8 to 796 of the family's 1533-position model. The record is from RNAcentral.
AGAGUUUGAUCAUGGCUCAGAUUGAACGCUGGCGGCAGGCCUAACACAUGCAAGUCGAACGGAUGUAGCAAUACAUUAGUGGCGCACGGGAGAGUAACGCGUGGGAACCUACCUUUUGGUUUGGGAUAACGUCGGGAAACUGACGCUAAUACCGGAUAAGCCCUUCGGGGGAAAGAUUUAUCGCCGAUAGAUGGGCCCGCGUUAGAUUAGCUAGUUGGUGAGGUAAUGGCUCACCAAGGCUACGAUCUAUAGCUGGUUUGAGAGGAUGACCAGCCUCACUGGGACUGAGACACGGCCCAGACUCCUACGGGAGGCAGCAGUGGGGAAUAUUGGACAAUGGGGGCAACCCUGAUCCAGCCAUGCCGCGUGAACGAUGAAGGCCUUCGGGUUGUAAAGUUCUUUUGGUGGGGACGAUGAUGACGGUACCCACAGAAUAAGCACCGGCUAACUUCGUGCCAGCAGCCGCGGUAAUACGAAGGGUGCUAGCGUUGUUCGGAAUUACUGGGCGUAAAGGGCGCGUAGGCGGUUUAACAAGUUGGGUGUGAAAGCCCAGGGCUCAACCCUGGAACUGCACUCAAGACUGUUUUACUUGAAUUCGGUAGAGGUUGGUGGAAUUCCCAGUGUAGAGGUGAAAUUCGUAGAUAUUGGGAAGAAUACCCGUGGCGAAGGCGACCAACUGGACCGACAUUGACGCUGAGGCGCGAAAGCGUGGGGAGCAAACAGGAUUAGAUACCCUAGUAGUCC